UAACUAAUUAGAUCCUAGUCCAAUUAAAAAAUUAUUUAGGCCCUAAUCCAAUUAAAAAAUUAGUUAGAUUAAAAUUUUAUUGAUUCAGAGAUUGAUUCUUAAUGGAUAUCAGGGAAGUUAUUGAUCAAUAGGGCUUGAUCCAAUCAAGCCUAUUAUCCAAUAGGAUUUGAUCCAAUCAAAAUCUAUAUCAGACUAAAUUGAAUCUUAUUCAACUCAAAAUUUGAUUUGCA
Molecule: long non-coding RNA, 230 nt
Filed under: Elaeis guineensis (African oil palm)
Lineage: Eukaryota; Viridiplantae; Streptophyta; Magnoliopsida; Arecales; Arecaceae
Description: long non-coding RNA (EGUI_LNC078368)
Source: RNAcentral